UCAUGCUGGAAUCAAGGCAGAGAUACAGAAGUAGAUGUGGGGCACAUUUUAGGUCAGCCUGCCCUACCUAGCUCUCCUUCCACAUUUCCACCAGGAGACUCACCCGCGGGCCUUAAACCAAGUCUGCAAAAGGACUCCAGUAAACCCUAAACAUGUAACUCAGGAGAGGCAAUUAGACCACUAGUCAUGGCUAAGAUUUCUCCAGUGGGGGCUUCAGGGGAGCAGGAGGGAAGGUGAGUGGAGCGUGCACAUUUAAUUCAGGAUAGCUGGGGAAAGCAGGAUUCAGGUGGAGAGGAGCAGGGCCCAGAGAGGAGCCUGGUGGAAGGCAGGGGGCUGCAGAGUGGAUGCUGGACUCUGCAGCAGGGUGAGGGUGCUCUGCAAGCAAUGGCAUCCAGCCCCAGCCAUGUCUUUUUGGGGUGUUAGCCAUCAGCAUCACCAUGAGCUGGAAGAGGCCCAGCAUUGUAUAGGUGGCAAAACCAAGGCCCAGACCUACUGAGGACCAGGCCAUCAUGGUCUCUUUUCUGGUUCACCAUGUGACCUCUGUCAGCCCUUGAACAAAGCCCUGGAUAUGUUCUUCCAGGAAGGCUCUCCCUGCCUGGGGCACACCCCAGAGCGUCACCCCCAGGGAUACACAGACAGAGACACAAGGGUCCCCCAGCCUGAGCUUCCUCAAGCCCCUCCACCUCCAUUGUUCUUGUUGGAUCAGAAGUUGUGCCUGUGGGGCAAGAACCUUCCUUCUCCCCAUCACUUUACAAGAGAGCUCCCAACCCUUCUGCCUGGCAGUCAAGGUCUCUCCCGCCCCUGUUCGUCAGCCUUCCUGUCCUUUCCUUGCCAAUAAUGGGCAACACCUCCCACCACCCUGGCACCGAGAGCUGCAUUCACGGUGGCUGAAGUUCCAUGUUUUAUAUCCUGUCUUCACAAUGAGUUCAUCAGCCUGAGGAUGGCUCCCAGGUUCUUCCGUCAGUGGGAAAGCAGAUGGAAUGCCUCGUGUAUGCAUCAGAGAUCCUACAUUUAAGAACAAUUUGCUGAGAAUCAGCCAUAAGAAGCCUCCGGCAAAGGAGACAUGCAUCUUGCCUCUUGGGAAAGGAAGUUUGCUCCUCUGGGGCAAGGCUUAAGGAGGUCCCCCAACAAGGAGGGGUCCCCAAGUGACCACCUGGGCUCAGGCCAUUUUGCUAGGACAAGUCUGGGGUGAGUGGGAAGGAGCAUGAGCUGAGGGGUGAGGAGGAUGCCUAAGAAUAUAGACGAAGCAGAGUCAACACUGCGAGUGGGAGGAGAGGGUUCUUGUUGUAAAUCAGCUCCCAUUUAUUGACCACUGGAUGCAGAAGGUGUUGAGAUUAGCGCAGGCUUCUGAGUGACACCCACUGGAGUUUGAUUUGUGGACAACUUGCUUUUUGCCUCUCAUGAUUCUUUGGAUCAUCAGCUCAGAACCCCUUGGUUUUUUAAAAAAUAAACAAACUAUUUGUAUUCAUCUGGCUGUGCCAGGUCUUAGUUGCGGCAUAUGCACUCUUCGUUUCGGCCAGUGAGAUCUAGUUCCCUGACCAGGGAUGGAACCCAGGCCCCCUGCAUUGGGAGCACAGAGUCUUAGCCUCCAGGCCACCAGGGAAGUCCCCCCUCCUUGCUCUCAUGUGUGUUAACUUCUGGGUAUUGGUUUAAGUUUUUGUUCCACCCUCAAUUAUCUGGGGCAGGUUUCUUACUCUUUCUGAGUUUGAGUGUCUUCAUCUGUAAAAUCUGAUUGUGGUAAAGACUAAAUUAGAUGAGUCCAUGAAAGUUCUUGGGUCUCAGCCCCAUUAAACUAUUUCCGCUCCA
Molecule: long non-coding RNA, 1806 nt
Organism: Bubalus bubalis (water buffalo)
Lineage: Eukaryota; Metazoa; Chordata; Mammalia; Artiodactyla; Bovidae
Exons: 2
Source: RefSeq, a predicted model, not a curated record